Molecule: transfer RNA, 101 nt
Filed under: Thalassoglobus neptunius
Lineage: Bacteria; Pseudomonadati; Planctomycetota; Planctomycetia; Planctomycetales; Planctomycetaceae
Description: Planctomycetes bacterium KOR42 tRNA-Gln
Source: RNAcentral
UCCGGUUCCUGGUCGAGAAUCUGGUCCAGCAGCGGUUGCUCUGGACGUUCGAUAAUGGAUUGCCAUUGAGAAUCUCUUCGGUUCAGCCCGAGGGAUCGGAA